Gallus gallus (chicken) is the source of this 1916-nucleotide long non-coding RNA. NCBI's taxonomy places the organism in Eukaryota, Metazoa, Chordata, Aves, Galliformes, Phasianidae. The record is from Ensembl.
AUCUUGUUGGAGAUCUGUGUAUAUCUGAGGUCUUCUGAAGGAUGUUACCUGUUCAUUAAGGCACGGUUCUAGUGAGAAUUAUAAUUCCCAUUUGAGAGGAAUACUAUUGAACAUGUUCCAGUAAAGUGACUUCUUAAAUUUUCUUGAGCCUGGAAAUGAGAGGAAAUCAUGCAUGGGAACUGUGAAGAAGAUUGGUCAUGAUUCUUGCAAGAUAGUAACUCCACAUAGGAUCCUAUACUAUUUUAGUAUUAAAACACAGCCAAGAAAAGAGAAAAUAAUAGAUUAGAGUUUUUACUAAUUACUAUUUAUUUCUUGAAUUCUUGCUGUUUUCAUUUCUUGUUAGGUCUUAUCUCAGAAAUGGUAUCUGGUUCACCUGUUUUAUGCAUCUGCUUUCCCAACUCCUGUAUAUGAUGCACUGGCUACUUGCUAGUAUUUUUUAAAUAUUUAUUUAUUUGUUUGUUUGUUGAUCAAAUUCACUCCAUUAUAAUAUCAGAAAAAUGUUCAUAACACUUUCAGUAAUGCAGGAAACUGCAUGAGACCUUUUGUAAACAGGGAGAGAAAAUAGCUGUAAAUUGUUAGGCAUGGGCCUUGCAUGGGAUCACUUUUCUUUAAUUCUCUCUGACACCUCUUUAAAAAUUGCUCAUUUACCAGUAACCAGGAAGAAAUAAGAUGGCUUCUUUCUGUGUGUGUAAUUUUUAAAUGAUAUAUGCAUAGACAUAAAUAAUUUCAGAAGCCAAAAAAAUGCCAGGGAAACUAUUACUUCCAGUGCUAGUGUUGAAACAGUGCCAAGCCCAAAGUUUUGUAAAUUGGGCUGUAAGUGUGAAAUCCCUCCAGCUGUUAAAAGUAUUCCAUAUCUAAUUAUAUUUACAGUUUUUAGACUACUCCAGUUGGAGAAUCCUGAAACUGCAUACUGCAUGCCUGGAAGCAAGAGCCACAUGCGUUCAGUGAAAACCUCCAAAACAUAAAGAAAGCAAAUAGACAAAAUAGAUAAGCCACAUAUUUGUGUGGUUUUGUCAGUGUUUUCCUAUGUGGCUUUCUUUGUUUUCACAACAUUUCUUUCUGAACACCAUUUACUGUAAUGUGCCCACCCUGUCAUUCCAGAUCCCAUGAACAGCUAUAUGUAAGGAAGUGUCUAUUACACAUUUUACAAAAUCUGUUUGUAUGAAAGACUAAAACAACAGCUGCAUGAGAGCAAUGAACCCCCCAGAGGAGGUAAAGCUUGUUUGUAUUCACUGCUCUAGCCUUCAAAAACCAAUUAAAAAGGCUCUUCUUGAGCAUCAAAUUGUAUUGUCAGAAAGUGGAGAAGAUGCCUGUUUUUUGGUGAAUAAUUUCAUGCUAGUCUGACAGGAACUGAAUUUUUAAAAAUUUGCUAGUGAACUUCACAACUGUAUCUGACCUUAGCAAGUUCGCAUUGCAAAAAAAACCAAAACAAAACAAAACAAAAAAACCCACCUGAUUAUUAAUAGUUAAUAUCUUGACACUCCUUACUAAAAGUACUCAUCACAGUCACCCUCUUGAAUGAGAAUCUAGUGAUGUAAUUGUUACAUUAAAAAUAAGUAUUUGGGGACUUAGCUUGGUGUCAUGAGAGCAACAAAAGGUCAGCAAUGGUGGGAAGAUGUGAAAGGUGUUGGCCAUCAGCAAUGUUUGCCGUCAUACUUACUUUGUUCUCCUCUGGCUGAUAUUUGUUUUUUCUUUUCCAUAUGUUCCCUUUGUAGGAGCUUCAAUAGUGAUACAUAAAAAUGUAUCUGUCUAUAUGAAGGUUUACUCAUUCAUUUGUUGUACAUCCAAAGCUAAAUGAAACCAGUAGAUGUUCUUCAAAAUCAAAGUUUCUGUGAAAGGAAAUGAAAGUACUACUCUUUUGUCACCUUUGGUGUUUGAAUAGAAAUACAUUAAGUAAACAUUACAGCCAUUUAAAC